CAUGCAAGUCGAACGAAGUAGCAAUACUUAGUGGCAGACGGGUGAGUAACAUGUAGGUAUUUGCCCUUUGGCCUGGAAUAACACGAGGAAACUUGUGCUAAUACCGGAUAAGUCUUUACGGAGAAAGCUUUAUGCACCAUUGGAUGAGCCUGCACUUGAUUAGUUUGUUGGUGGGGUAAUGGCCUACCAAGACUGUGAUCAAUAGCUGAUUUGAGAGGAUGAUCAGCCACAUUGGGACUGAGACACGGCCCAAACUCCUACGGGAGGCAGCAGUGGGGAAUCUUGCACAAUGGAGGAAACUCUGAUGCAGCGAUGCCGCGUGAGUGAAGAAGGCCUUUGGGUUGUAAAGCUCUUUCGUCGGGGAAGAAAAUGACUGUACCCGAAUAAGAAGGUCCGGCUAACUUCGUGCCAGCAGCCGCGGUAAUACGAAGGGACCUAGCGUAGUUCGGAAUUACUGGGCUUAAAGAGUUCGUAGGUGGUUGAAAAAGUUGGUGGUGAAAUCCCAGAGCUUAACUCUGGAACUGCCAUCAAAACCUUUCAGCUAGAGUAUGAUAGAGGAAAGCAGAAUUUCUAGUGUAGAGGUGAAAUUCGUAGAUAUUA
This 600-nucleotide ribosomal RNA is filed under the name uncultured Alphaproteobacteria bacterium. Its description in RNAcentral is "bacterial SSU rRNA". It matches the Rfam family "Bacterial small subunit ribosomal RNA", at positions 54 to 699 of the family's 1533-position model. The record is from RNAcentral. Lineage: Bacteria; Pseudomonadati; Pseudomonadota; Alphaproteobacteria.